Molecule: ribosomal RNA, 253 nt
Filed under: uncultured bacterium
Lineage: Bacteria
Description: partial 16S ribosomal RNA
Rfam family: Bacterial small subunit ribosomal RNA
Source: RNAcentral
UACGUAGGGUGCGAGCGUUGUCCGGAUUUAUUGGGCGUAAAGAGCUCGUAGGCGGUUUGUCGCGUCGGCCGUGAAAACUCAACGCUUAACGUUGAGCUUGCGGUCGAUACGGGCAGACUUGAGUUCGGUAGGGGAGACUGGAAUUCCUGGUGUAGCGGUGAAAUGCGCAGAUAUCAGGAGGAACACCGGUGGCGAAGGCGGGUCUCUGGGCCGAUACUGACGCUGAGGAGCGAAAGCGUGGGGAGCGAACAGG